Molecule: long non-coding RNA, 280 nt
Filed under: Mytilus galloprovincialis (Mediterranean mussel)
Lineage: Eukaryota; Metazoa; Mollusca; Bivalvia; Mytilida; Mytilidae
Source: RNAcentral
AACAAAUGCUACGUUUUCCACAUAUUUAACCAUGAUGAGGUUGUGCAGUAAUGUAUAAUAGAACAUUAACCAAUACAUAAUCAAGGUUUUAGCCACCUAUACCUUGAUUAUAAUACCUUAUCUAGCUAUAAUGUGUCACAUUGCAUUUUGUAUGUGCAUUUUUGAUGCAAAGAAUCUUGAGGAUACAAUUUACAAAUCUAUAAUCUAAACUUAGUGUGGUAAUUAUGUUACCAACAGUUGACAUUAUAUCUUUUUAUUUAUUUCAAAGUAUUUCUAAUCA